Molecule: ribosomal RNA, 460 nt
Filed under: uncultured bacterium
Lineage: Bacteria
Description: partial 16S ribosomal RNA
Rfam family: Bacterial small subunit ribosomal RNA
Source: RNAcentral
CCUACGGGAGGCAGCAGUGAGGAAUAUUGGUCAAUGGACGAGAGUCUGAACCAGCCAAGUAGCGUGAAGGAUGACUGCCCUAUGGGUUGUAAACUUCUUUUAUAUGGGAAUAAAACGUUCCACGUGUGGGAUUUUGUAUGUACCAUAUGAAUAAGGAUCGGCUAACUCCGUGCCAGCAGCCGCGGUAAUACGGAGGAUCCGAGCGUUAUCCGGAUUUAUUGGGGUUAAAGGGAGCGUAGGUGGAUUGUUAAGUCAGUUGUGAAAGUUUGCGGCUCAACCGUAAAAUUGCAGUUGAAAAUGGCAGUCUUGAGUACAGUAGAGGUGGGCGGAAUGCGUGGUGUAGCGGUGAAAUGCUUAGAUAUCACGAAGAACUCCGAUUGCGAAGGCAGUUCACUGGACUGCAACUGACACUGAGGCUCGAAAGUGUGGGUAUCAAACAGGAUUAGAUACCCUGGUAGUC